Molecule: ribosomal RNA, 464 nt
Filed under: uncultured bacterium
Lineage: Bacteria
Description: partial 16S ribosomal RNA
Rfam family: Bacterial small subunit ribosomal RNA
Source: RNAcentral
ACGAACGCUGGCGGCGUGCUUCACACAUGCAAGUCGAACGGAAAGGCCCUGCUUGCAGGGUACUCGAGUGGCGAACGGGUGAGUAACACGUGGGUGAUCUGCCCUGCACUUCGGGAUAAGCCUGGGAAACUGGGUCUAAUACCGGAUAUGACCUUCCAUGUAGUGUGGGGGGUGGAAAGAUUUAUCGGUGUGGGAUGAGCCCGCGGCCUAUCAGCUUGUUGGUGGGGUAAUGGCCUACCAAGGCGUCGACGGGUAGCCGGCCUGAGAGGGUGGACGGCCACAUUGGGACUGAGAUACGGCCCAGACUCCUACGGGAGGCAGCAGUGGGGAAUAUUGCACAAUGGGCGGAAGCCUGAUGCAGCGACGCCGCGUGGGGGAUGACGGCCUUCGGGUUGUAAACCUCUUUCGACAGGGACGAAGCUUCGGUGACGGUACCUGUAUAAGAAGCACCGGCUAACUACGUG